GAUGAAGAACGCAGCGAAAUGCGAUACGUAAUGUGAAUUGCAGAAUUCAGUGAAUCAUCGAGUCUUUGAACGCACAUUGCGCCCCCUGGUAUUCCGGGGGGCAUGCCUGUCCGAGCGUCAUUGCUGCCCUCAAGCACGGCUUGUGUGUUGGGCCUCCGUCCUCCUCCCGGGGGACGGGCCCGAAAGGCAGCGGCGGCACCGCGUCCGGUCCUCGAGCGUAUGGGGCUUUGUCACCCGCUCUGUAGGCCCGGCCGGCGCUUGCCGAUCAACCAAAACUUUUUUCCAGGUUGACCUCGGAUCAGGUAGGGAUACCCGCUGAACUUAAGCAUAUCAAUAAGCGGAGGA
Molecule: unclassified non-coding RNA, 345 nt
Filed under: soil metagenome
Description: partial contains 5.8S ribosomal RNA, internal transcribed spacer 2, and large subunit ribosomal RNA
Rfam family: 5.8S ribosomal RNA (bases 1-120)
Source: RNAcentral